UCCUUGUUCAUGCUCACCCAUAAGGCAAGA
This 30-nucleotide non-coding RNA is filed under the name Homo sapiens (human). Lineage: Eukaryota; Metazoa; Chordata; Mammalia; Primates; Hominidae. The record is from RNAcentral.